Molecule: small nuclear RNA, 115 nt
Organism: Cairina moschata (Muscovy duck)
Lineage: Eukaryota; Metazoa; Chordata; Aves; Anseriformes; Anatidae
Gene: U5
Rfam family: U5 spliceosomal RNA
About the family: U5 RNA is a component of both types of known spliceosome. The precise function of this molecule is unknown, though it is known that the 5' loop is required for splice site selection and p220 binding, and that both the 3' stem-loop and the Sm site are important for Sm protein binding and cap methylation.
Source: Ensembl
GCUCUCUGGUUUCUCUUCAGAUCCUAUAAAUCUUUUGCCUUUUACAAACAAUUUCCAUGGAGAGAAACUUAUGAGUUUCAUCACUGAUUUUUUUUUUUUUUUUUCAGGCACCAUA